CGGAAUAGGCCAAAGAAGAAGCAGCAAUCAGUUGCUGGACAAGGUACUUAUUUGAUAAUACCUUGUAACUUCUCUCUUAUUGAUAUAAUGACCUGGGUAUUGGAUACCAGAAGCUCUAUUCACAUUUGUAAUUUAUUGCAGAAUCUUCAAGUCAGUAGGAGAUUUGGAGAAGAUGAGAGAUUUCUAAACAUUGAAGAUGGA
Molecule: long non-coding RNA, 201 nt
Filed under: Elaeis guineensis (African oil palm)
Lineage: Eukaryota; Viridiplantae; Streptophyta; Magnoliopsida; Arecales; Arecaceae
Description: long non-coding RNA (EGUI_LNC003808)
Source: RNAcentral